Molecule: long non-coding RNA, 526 nt
Organism: Canis lupus familiaris (dog)
Lineage: Eukaryota; Metazoa; Chordata; Mammalia; Carnivora; Canidae
Exons: 3
Source: RefSeq, a predicted model, not a curated record
CAGCAGAGGAAACCAUCACCAAAAUGAAAUGGCAGCCUACUGAAUGAGAGAAGGGCCGACUUAUCUAGAAGUAUUUUCCCUACACCCAACACUUUCCCUGCAAUCACCCAGUUCAGGUUCGAAAUCCUAUUUUUUCUUGUGUGCUCAAAGGCACGACUCUGACAGUAAGUAGUCCUUUCUCACUUGAACAGCAUUAAAUCUCCCCUUCUCUGCUGACUCAUUUCAUCAGCAAAUAGGAUCUGUUUUCUUCUGACUUCAAAAAAUACACUGCUUCUGUGGUCCCCUCUUCAAGAAACAAUAAUCCCAGUCUAGUCCUGAGGGACUUUCAACAAAAUAUCUAAGCAUUACUCCACAAAACUCCCAAGGUCAUGAAACAAAAAGGCUAGCUGUCCUGGGCCAGCAGAGACUGAGUCAACUUGGCAACUACAUGCAAAUGGUUUCUGGGGCUGGACCUUGUAACAAGAAAAGGACAUUAAGGGAACAAUUGCUGAAUAAAUUGAUAAAUAAAGCCUGAAUAAAGUCUGAA